AGCAACAAAUGCCCUGCUUCCAGGAAAAGCCUCUAAGCAUCAGGUAACAUCAAAUCGUACCCCAAACCGACACAGGUGGUCAGGUAGAGAAUACCAAGGCGCUUGAGAGAACUCGGGUGAAGGAACUAGGCAAAAUGGUGCCGUAACUUCGGGAGAAGGCACGCUGACACGUAGGUGAAGUGAUUUACUCAUGGAGCUGAAGUCAGUCGAAGAUACCAGCUGGCUGCAACUGUUUAUUAAAAACACAGCACUGUGCAAACACGAAAGUGGACGUAUACGGUGUGACGCCUGCCCGGUGCCGGAAGGUUAAUUGAUGGGGUCAGCGCAAGCGAAGCUCCUGAUCGAAGCCCCGGUAAACGGCGGCCGUAACUAUAACGGUCCUAAGGUAGCGAAAUUCCUUGUCGGGUAAGUUCCGACCUGCACGAAUGGCGUAAUGAUGGCCAGGCUGUCUCCACCCGAGACUCAGUGAAAUUGAACUCGCUGUGAAGAUGCAGUGUACCCGCGGCAAGACGGAAAGACCCCGUGAACCUUUACUAUAGCUUGACACUGAACAUUGAGCCUUGAUGUGUAGGAUAGGUGGGAGGCUUUGAAGCGUGGACGCCAGUCUGCGUGGAGCCGACCUUGAAAUACCACCCUUUAAUGUUUGAUGUUCUAACGUGGACCCGUGAUCCGGGUUGCGGACAGUGUCUGGUGGGUAGUUUGACUGGGGCGGUCUCCUCCUAAAGAGUAACGGAGGAGCACGAAGGUUGGCUAAUCCUGGUCGGACAUCAGGAGGUUAGUGCAAUGGCAUAAGCCAGCUUGACUGCGAGCGUGACGGCGCGAGCAGGUGCGAAAGCAGGUCAUAGUGAUCCGGUGGUUCUGAAUGGAAGGGCCAUCGCUCAACGGAUAAAAGGUACUCCGGGGAUAACAGGCUGAUACCGCCCAAGAGUUCAUAUCGACGGCGGUGUUUGGCACCUCGAUGUCGGCUCAUCACAUCCUGGGGCUGAAGUAGGUCCCAAGGGUAUGGCUGUUCGCCAUUUAAAGUGGUACGCGAGCUGGGUUUAGAACGUCGUGAGACAGUUCGGUCCCUAUCUGCCGUGGGCGCUGGAGAACUGAGGGGGGCUGCUCCUAGUACGAGAGGACCGGAGUGGACGCAUCACUGGUGUUCGGGUUGUCAUGCCAAUGGCACUGCCCGGUAGCUAAAUGCGGAAGAGAUAAGUGCUGAAAGCAUCUAAGCACGAAACUUGCCCCGAGAUGAGUUCUCCCUGAGACUUAAAGUCUCCUGAAGGAACGUUGAAGACGACGACGUUGAUAGGCCGGGUGUGUAAGCGCAGCGAUGCGUUGAGCUAACCGGUACUAAUGAACCGUGAGGCUUAACCUUACAACGCCGAAG
This 1372-nucleotide ribosomal RNA is filed under the name Salmonella enterica. Its description in RNAcentral is "partial 23S ribosomal RNA". It matches the Rfam family "Bacterial large subunit ribosomal RNA", at positions 1589 to 2925 of the family's 2925-position model. Lineage: Bacteria; Pseudomonadati; Pseudomonadota; Gammaproteobacteria; Enterobacterales; Enterobacteriaceae. The record is from RNAcentral. RNAcentral also lists the same sequence under 2 other names.